AUAUUUAUAUAUUCGAGAGUAGACAAUGCAUAGAUGAUACUAAAUUGAUCGCAAGAAUUCUUUUUGGAAAACACAAUAUAACUAGUAUAGUAUACAAAGAACUUUUCAAAAAUUUAUGAAAAUGUUUAAGCCCGCAUCGCGGGCAAAACACCUAGUUACUUUUAUUACAAAACUAUAUUAGUCAUUAGAUGAUAUAUUAUUAAUAAAUUAUAUAACUACUUAAAAUCCUAAUUAUUUUUAAAGGAGAUAUUUUUUUUUUGGUUCUCCCAAUCUCCAAUGUACCACCUUUACUCUGUUACUUUAUUUUUCUGUAGAUCUUUAUAAUUAUUUAAAAAAUUCAAAAAUCUUAAAGCAAAAUAUCAUAAACUAUGUUCUGAUAUUCUGUGAGACAUUUCUCAAAUGAAAUUGGUGUUAAUAUUUUUUUUAAAACUAAUUGGUGUUAAUUUUAAGGUGAUUUUGAUCAUAUGUAUUGCUAUAAUAUACAAUUUUUGUUAUAAAAAUGCUAAAAUAGAACUAAGAAUCAAUUAAUUGAAUUGUCAAUGGAAUAAUAAUUCAAGCUCACAGCAACAUGGUUAUUCAAAAUUGAUCAAAUGAUUUUGCAAGAAUUGUUUGUGUGUUUAUAUUUAUUUUUGUAUACUAAUUAAGUUCUAAUAAUAUGUAGUUGAUUAUAUAUUAAAAAUACAGUAAAUUAGUUAUAUUUAUGGAGCAUAAUUUUAUGGUUGUGCUUUAGGCGCCAAAUUGAUCCGGACCGGCACUGAUUAGUGAUGUCAUUUCUCUCGCUAGUUCCAAUGUCAUUGAGAAUUAUAUAAUCGUUGAUUUACUAAAACCAGAAUUGCAAUGCUUCAAAUAUUAUAUAGCCCACUUCAAGCAUGGUUAUCUUUGUAUAUAAAAUACAGUUUGAAUCACUCCCAGGGUGUACACAUCAGAUGCCAGCGCAACAAUUCAAGUGAUGUCCGGCCGACACCUGUCUUAAAUGAAACGCAGCGUAUCAAGCUUUUGUGCAUACCCUCUGUUACCAGAAAACCAAAAAGGUAUCAAAGGUGGAAGUAGGAACAAAGGUCUACGUACGCAUCACUUGACGAGUGGCUCGAGGGACAUUUGGCAAAGAUAUUGCAAGAAAAUCAAAGAUCAAGAAGAAGUGAGAAAAAAAGAGAGCUUUUUAAGCUCCUUCACAGUUCUUAUAGACUUUAAGCUUUUUGGCAUUUUGAAAGAGUUUUGGAUUUCCGUCUUGAGGAAGUUUAGUAUAGAUGUUACUCUCUCUUUUUCUUAUGAAGGUUCUGCUUCAGUCACAGUAAUAAUGCUCAGAGUAAAUAAGUGGCUGCUUCAGUCCAAUUUCUCCGUAUUAUGUUUUAUUCUCUGUUAUGUCCUCUGUUUCUUUUUUGCCUUUGUUAUAUGUGUGUGUGUUCUUGAAAGAUCUAUGCAGAAUCAAAAACUAUCUUUUCUAAUCUACAAGCUAAUAAAAAAGAUUAGUUACUUAUUUAAUA
Long non-coding RNA from Brassica rapa (field mustard), 1484 nucleotides. RefSeq lists it as uncharacterized. The record is from RefSeq and is a predicted model, not a curated record. NCBI's taxonomy places the organism in Eukaryota, Viridiplantae, Streptophyta, Magnoliopsida, Brassicales, Brassicaceae.